GAUGAAGAACGCAGUGAAAUGCGAUACGUAAUGUGAAUUGCAAAUUCAGUGAAUCAUCGAGUCUUUGAACGCACAUUGCGCCCCCUGGUAUUCCGGGGGGCAUGCCUGUCCGAGCGUCAUUGCUGCCCUCAAGCACGGCUUGUGUGUUGGGCCCCGUCCUCCGAUCCCGGGGGACGGGCCCGAAAGGCAGCGGCGGCACCGCGUCCGGUCCUCGAGCGUAUGGGGCUUUGUCACCCGCUCUGUAGGCCCGGCCGGCGCUUGCCGAUCAACCCAAAUUUUUAUCCAGGUUGACCUCGGAUCAGGUAGGGAUACCCGCUGAACUUAAGCAUAUCAAUAAGCGGAGG
Molecule: unclassified non-coding RNA, 344 nt
Filed under: soil metagenome
Description: partial contains 5.8S ribosomal RNA, internal transcribed spacer 2, and large subunit ribosomal RNA
Rfam family: 5.8S ribosomal RNA (bases 1-119)
Source: RNAcentral